RNAcentral lists this ribosomal RNA (497 nucleotides) under uncultured bacterium. RNAcentral's name for it is "partial 16S ribosomal RNA". It matches the Rfam family "Bacterial small subunit ribosomal RNA", at positions 28 to 507 of the family's 1533-position model. The record is from RNAcentral.
GAUGAACGCUGGCGGCGUGCCUAAUACAUGCAAGUCGAGCGAACAGACGAGGAGCUUGCUCCUCUGACGUUAGCGGCGGACGGGUGAGUAACACGUGGAUAACCUACCUAUAAGACUGGGAUAACUUCGGGAAACCGGAGCUAAUACCGGAUAAUAUAUUGAACCGCAUGGUUCAAUAGUGAAAGACGGUUUUGCUGUCACUUAUAGAUGGAUCCGCGCCGCAUUAGCUAGUUGGUAAGGUAACGGCUUACCAAGGCAACGAUGCGUAGCCGACCUGAGAGGGGGGGAGGCAACACGGGAAGUGAAACAGGGCCAAGACUCCGAAGGGAGGCAGCAGUAGGAAAUCGUCGGAAAGGGGAGAAAGCGUGACGGAGAACGGCGGAGGGAGUGAUGAAGUUGUUGGGAUCGAAAAACUGUGUUAUGGGGGAAAAAAAAAUGUGAAAGUAAAUAUGCACGGCUUGAAGGUACCUAAUAAGAAAGCCAAGGAUAAAUACGUG